UGGGUGACUUUUAUCCUCUCCUUCCUCCUCCUCCUCCUGUUGUCCAGUACCUGUCACUUGGUCCUUUGCUGCAUCAUGGGGCUGCCCUGUGAGAGGAGGAAUGUGAGAGGGGAUCGUAUGGAGGGAGGCUGGGGCUUUGCUGAAGGGAGUGAUAAUCUGAGCAGGAACAUUCUGAGAUUGGUUGCUCUUGGAAGGGAACCUGUGGGCUAAAACUUACCACUCUCUACAACUUCCUGAAGGGUAGCUGCAGUCAGGUGGGGUUGGGCUCUUUCUCCAGGCAGCACCGACAGAACCAGAGGUCACAUUCUCAAGCUGCAUCACGGGAAAUACAGUUGGAGCUAGAAUGGUGCCAAUCAUACAGAAAUAUUUGGGGUUUUUCUGGGCAGUGCUUGCCCUCCUCUGCAAAAGGUCAUGAAGGUGGAUGUGAUCAAGAGGCUGGGAGACGACAUAGCCAGGCUGCCUGACCCAUGCUGAUCAAAGGGAUAUUUGAUACCAUGUGACAUCAUGGUCAGCAAAAAAUGCUGAGAGAAAGAAGGAGAGAGCUGGCAGGGGAGCAUUUAUUAAUAGAUUGUUUGUCAAGAAAGAAACUGCUAAGUGUACUGUAUUACUGCUUCCCAGGAGAGGCUGGCCAUUGACAGUUGAUGGAAGAUGAUAAUAAAACUAUUUUUUUUCCUGUGUUU
Serinus canaria (Common canary) is the source of this 680-nucleotide long non-coding RNA. RefSeq lists it as uncharacterized. The transcript is spliced from 2 exons. The record is from RefSeq and is a predicted model, not a curated record. NCBI's taxonomy places the organism in Eukaryota, Metazoa, Chordata, Aves, Passeriformes, Fringillidae.